AAGAGAGUGAAACAGUACGUGAAAUUGUUGAAAGGGAAGCGUUUGAAGUCAGUCGCAUUGGUCAGAACUCAGCCUGGCUUCUGCCUGGUGUAUUUUCUGGCAAAUGGGUCAGUGUCAAUUUUGAUCGAGAGAGAAAGACUUGAGGAAUGUGGCUGUCUUCGGGCAGUGUUAUAGCCUCUUGUUGUAUGUCUCGGUUGGGAUUGAGGAACGCAGCACGCCUUUUGGCCGGGGUUCGCGCCCUCGGUACGUGCUUAGGACACUGGCAUAAUGGCUUUAAGCGACCCGUCUUGAAACACGGANCAAGGAGUNNAACAUGUGCGCGAGUGUUUAGGUGUCAAACCUGGGCGCGUAAUGAAAGUGAAAGGUCGGGAUCAUGUACUUGUGCACCGACGCCCGGAGCAGACNUUCUGUGACGCAUCCGCGGUAGUUGCCCACUAGAAACUCUCACC
This 449-nucleotide ribosomal RNA is filed under the name uncultured Sebacinales. RNAcentral's name for it is "eukaryotic LSU rRNA". It matches the Rfam family "Eukaryotic large subunit ribosomal RNA", at positions 381 to 816 of the family's 3401-position model. The record is from RNAcentral. Lineage: Eukaryota; Fungi; Basidiomycota; Agaricomycetes; Sebacinales.